UACGUAGGGGGCAAGCGUUGUCCGGAUUUACUGGGCGUAAAGCGCGCGUAGGCGGAUCACUAAGUCAGGGGUGAAAUCCCGAGGCUUAACCUCGGAACUGCCUUUAAUACUGGAGAUCUGGAGAUCGGGAGAGGUUGGUGGAAUUCCGAGUGUAGAGGUGAAAUUCGUAGAUAUUCGGAGGAACACCAGAAGCGAAGGCGGCCAACUGGCCCGAUACUGACGCUGAGGCGCGAAAGCGUGGGGAGCAAACAGG
This 253-nucleotide ribosomal RNA is filed under the name uncultured bacterium. RNAcentral's name for it is "partial 16S ribosomal RNA". It matches the Rfam family "Bacterial small subunit ribosomal RNA", at positions 524 to 776 of the family's 1533-position model. The record is from RNAcentral.